Molecule: ribosomal RNA, 465 nt
Filed under: uncultured bacterium
Lineage: Bacteria
Description: partial 16S ribosomal RNA
Rfam family: Bacterial small subunit ribosomal RNA
Source: RNAcentral
CCUACGGGCGGCAGCAGUGGGGAAUAUUGCGCAAUGGGCGAAAGCCUGACGCAGCGACGCCGCGUGAGGGAUGAAGGUCUUCGGAUCGUAAACCUCUGUCAGCAGGGAAGAACGGUCACUGUGCUAAUCAGCAGUGAAUUGACGGUACCUGCAAAGGAAGCACCGGCUAACUCCGUGCCAGCAGCCGCGGUAAUACGGAGGGUGCGAGCGUUAAUCGGAAUUACUGGGCGUAAAGCGCUCGUAGGCGGUAUGUCAAGUCAAGGGUGAAAUCCCCGCGCUCAACGUGGGAACUGCCUUUGAAACUGGCAAAGUGGAGUGUGUGAGAGGAUAGUGGAAUUCCAGGUGUAGGAGUGAAAUGCGUAGAUAUUAGGAGGAACACCAGUGGCGAAGGCGACUUUCUGGACUGUACCUGACGCUGAGGCGCGAAAGCGUGGGUAGCGAACGGGAUUAGAUACCCCAGUAGUC